AUGAAAUAAAAACAUGCUAUUUGAACAAACUUUUUUUAUAAAGAAUAAGUUGACUGAAAAGCAGUUUUAAAUAACAUGAACUCACAAAUGACUUUUAGAAGCCAAAUAAACAUUUCCAUUUUAGAGAACAGUAUGUAAUACAUAACUUAAAAGCAUAUAGAACACAUAUUCAUACAUUCUUAAAAAUAAGAGAUUGUUAUUCCACAGAGAAUUUUUCAAAAAUCUAAAGUAUGUCCUGUUUAACCAACAAUUUGCUUCCAAAUAGGAGUCUCUUUUGAGAAGCUAAAUAUUAAUUUUCAAACAACUAUUUCUCCAUUUGGUAACUGGAAUCAUUCAUAUUAAAACAAAGGUCUUUAUGUCAAUGUAUAUUAAUAUGGCUGAAGGCUCCAGCCCUGAGUUAUUUUUUUUACUUCCUUAAAUUCAUAUUUACAACAUAUAUCAAUUUGAGGUAUGAUGACAAAAACAGAAACAAAAGACACAAUGGUAGAUGAGAAUCUAUCUCCUUGUGGAAGAGGCAAAAUUAGUGUGGACUUCAUUUUUCUGACCUAUAAAACUAGGAAGUAUAAUCACAUUAUCUGUGACAAUUUUUCCUUCUAAAAUGCCAUGAAUUUGAAGAUAGACUUCAUGCCUUUCUCCAUCAUAUCAAUAGAGUUAAGAAUAUUGAUUUUGGAGUCAGGCUGCCUGGUUAUGAAUCCCAGCUCAGACAGCUAUUUUGUAAUCUUGGAAAAAAUACUUCACCUCUCUAUACUAAGUUUCCCCAUGUGUACGGUACUGAUCUCAUAGAGUUGUUAUGAGACUAACAUGGGUAAAUCACUUUAUAACAGUGGCUGAUACAAUGUUACACGAGUUUUCAAAUGAGAUAUCAUCACUCAUUGUUUGUGGGAAAAGAUUCUAACUAUGUCAUAUGAAUGAAGUAUGCCAUAUGAAAAGAUCAUAUCAUAUGGGAAGAUAUAUUAGGUUAAAUUGUCUAAUGAUUACAAAACACAAAGUGAGGUUUUUGUUUUGUUUUGUUUUUACCUGUAUCUUAGCUUCAUACAACUCAGGAAACAUUUGAAUAACAUUAUGAUAAAUAGAUAUAAAUGAUUAUAAAAAAUAAAAGAGUUUAAUUCAGACUAAUAAAAGUUUAAUUACAACACUUGGAAAUGUAGCACAAUAUCUCCACCUAGUGGACACCACCUUAAAAAUUUUUACAGAUACUGCUCAGCCUUUUUUUAUCACUGGGGGAAAACUUCAAAGAGAAGUAAUUUCACUAAUAUAGAGGGAUAAAAAAUAGAAAAUAAGUUAAACACUAUAUUACUAGUGCUCCAAAACAUCCCACAUACUUUUAGCCAUUUGUCUUACAACAAAAUUAUAAGGAGUUAUCAUGUUGUUCAUGCUCUUUUGAACAGUUUGUAGCAUUUUAAAAAAUGACUAUAUCCAGUACAAAAAUAACAUGCCAUGAAUGGUCUGGAAACUGCAGAGAGCAAACAUGGAUUUUCACCUCUCUCUCCAUAUACUACUUCUUUUGAUUAAAAAAAAAUUAAUUUAAAUAAACUUUUCAUAGUGAGGCAGAAUAUGAUGGUCAAAAACUCACAGGCUUGGGAGUCAUACCAAUCUAUGUUCAUUUAGUGACAGUGCGGACUUUGGGCAAAUCACCUGACCUGCCUGACCUUCAGUUUCUUCAGCAGUCAAAUAGAAAUCAACAUCUACCUCACAGAAAUAUAAAUGUAGCAUCAAAUGAGACAAUAUUUGUAAAUCAGCUAGUAUAAUGCCUAAAACAUUACAGGUGUUCAAUGAAUGAUGGCAACCAUCAUUAUUAUUUUUCCUCCCUUUCUUUUUCAUCUUGUAUAUGCCGUACACACACAUAUAUGGUUCAACUAAACUGAAUUAAGUUUCACUGUGAAAAACCAACACAUUUAAUAAUUUUCUCGUUGGAAGCUGGCACAGUGGUUCAUGGUAAAUCCCAGCACUUUGGUAGGCCAAGGUGGGAGGAUCA
Molecule: long non-coding RNA, 1975 nt
Filed under: Homo sapiens (human)
Lineage: Eukaryota; Metazoa; Chordata; Mammalia; Primates; Hominidae
Description: HSALNT0187637
Source: RNAcentral